GAUGAACGCUGGCGGCGUGCCUAAUACAUGCAAGUCGAGCGAACGGACGAGAAGCUUGCUUCUCUGAUGUUAGCGGCGGACGGGUGAGUAACACGUGGAUAACCGACCUAUAAGACUGGGAUAACUUCGGGAAACCGUAGCUAAUACCGGAUAAGAUUUUGAACCGCAUGGUUCAAAAGUGAAAGACGGUCUUGCUGUCACUUAUAGAUGGAUCCGCGCUGCAUUAGCUAGUUGGUAAGGUAACGGCUUACCAAGGCAACGAUGCAUAGCCGACCUGAGAGGGUGAUCGGCCACACUGGAACUGAGACACGGUCCAGACUCCUACGGGAGGCAGCAGUAGGGAAUCUUCCGCAAUGGGCGAAAGCCUGACGGAGCAACGCCGCGUGAGUGAUGAAGGUCUUCGGAUCGUAAAACUCUGUUAUUAGGGAAGAACAUAUGUGUAAGUAACUGUGCACAUCUUGACGGUACCUAAUCAGAAAGCCACGGCUAACUACGUG
RNAcentral lists this ribosomal RNA (497 nucleotides) under uncultured bacterium. Its description in RNAcentral is "partial 16S ribosomal RNA". It matches the Rfam family "Bacterial small subunit ribosomal RNA", at positions 28 to 507 of the family's 1533-position model. The record is from RNAcentral.